ACUGCUGAUGCUUCACCUUUGGAAUUGGAGGGCUUGGAGGAGAAGCGAUCGUCGGGGAGAUUGACCUUGCCGUCGCCCAUGUUUGGUGGAGCUCAAAAUUUGUAGAAUUCAAACGUAAACAGAGAGAUCCAGAAAGAAUGGAAGAAGAACGAGAAAGAGAAGAAUAGUAUGAAGACGAAGAUGAAGAUUAAGAAGAUUAAGAAGAUUGUGAUGAGUGGUUUGGAAGGCGAAGGGCGAAAGGAAUGGGAGGAGCUCUUC
Molecule: non-coding RNA, 258 nt
Organism: Arachis ipaensis
Lineage: Eukaryota; Viridiplantae; Streptophyta; Magnoliopsida; Fabales; Fabaceae
Source: RefSeq, a predicted model, not a curated record